This 253-nucleotide ribosomal RNA is filed under the name uncultured bacterium. Its description in RNAcentral is "partial 16S ribosomal RNA". It matches the Rfam family "Bacterial small subunit ribosomal RNA", at positions 524 to 776 of the family's 1533-position model. The record is from RNAcentral.
UACGUAGGGUGCGAGCGUUAAUCGGAAUUACUGGGCGUAAAGUGUGUGCAGGCGGCCGCGCAAGUCGAGUGUGAAAGCCCCGGGCUUAACUUGGGAAUUGCGCUCGAAACUACGUGGCUGGAGUGUGGCAGAGGAAGGUGGAAUUCCACGUGUAGCGGUGAAAUGCGCAGAUAUCAGGAGGAACACCAGCGGCGAAGGCGGCGCUCUGGGCCGGUACUGACACUGAGGAGCGAAAGCGUGGGUAGCAAACAGG